UCCUGGCUGGCUCAGUCGGUGGAGCAUGUGACUCUUGAUCUCAGGGUUGUGAGUUCAAGCCCCACGUUGGGUA
Molecule: transfer RNA, 73 nt
Filed under: Ailuropoda melanoleuca (giant panda)
Lineage: Eukaryota; Metazoa; Chordata; Mammalia; Carnivora; Ursidae
Rfam family: tRNA
About the family: Transfer RNA (tRNA) molecules are approximately 80 nucleotides in length.
Source: Rfam by way of RNAcentral